UCCAACUUCAUGUAAGCAGCACUCCCCAAC
Molecule: non-coding RNA, 30 nt
Filed under: Mus musculus (house mouse)
Lineage: Eukaryota; Metazoa; Chordata; Mammalia; Rodentia; Muridae
Source: RNAcentral